Molecule: ribosomal RNA, 500 nt
Filed under: Fusarium oxysporum
Lineage: Eukaryota; Fungi; Ascomycota; Sordariomycetes; Hypocreales; Nectriaceae
Description: eukaryotic LSU rRNA
Rfam family: 5.8S ribosomal RNA (bases 128-281)
Source: RNAcentral
CAUACCUAUUGUUGCUUCGGCGGGAUUGCCCCGGGCGCCUCGUGUGCCCCGGAUCAGGCGCCCGCCUAGGAAACUCAACUCUUGUUUUAUUUUGGAAUCUUCUGAGUAGUUUUUACAAAUAAAUAAAAACUUUCAACAACGGAUCUCUUGGUUCUGGCAUCGAUGAAGAACGCAGCGAAAUGCGAUAAGUAAUGUGAAUUGCAGAAUUCAGUGAAUCAUCGAAUCUUUGAACGCACAUUGCGCCCGCCAGUAUUCUGGCGGGCAUGCCUGUCUGAGCGUCAUUUCAACCCUCAUGCCCCUAGGGCGUGGUGUUGGGGAUCGGCCAAAGCCCGCGAGGGACGGCCGGCCCCUAAAUCUAGUGGCGGACCCGUCGUGGCCUCCUCUGCGAAGUAGUGAUAUUCCGCAUCGGAGAGCGAUGAGCCCCUGCCGUUAAACCCCCAACUUUCCAAGGUUGACCUCAGAUCAGGUAGGAAUACCCGCUGAACUUAAGCAUAUCAAUA